Long non-coding RNA from Sapajus apella (tufted capuchin), 2483 nucleotides. RefSeq lists it as uncharacterized. NCBI's taxonomy places the organism in Eukaryota, Metazoa, Chordata, Mammalia, Primates, Cebidae. The record is from RefSeq and is a predicted model, not a curated record. The transcript has 5 exons.
GAGUCGUGAUGCCAUCGGCAGGGUGGGGAGCUCAGUGACCUCCCCACGGGAUGGCUGUGCCCAUACUCAUGACCCUCUCACCUGCCACUUAAGCCACAGUCCACCUGACUAAUGCUGUCAAGCCCUUAGCAGUGAGUUAAGUAUCUGAUUAACCUCCAUUGCAGUCCCUGGUUUAGAGAUGAAUCAAUUGAAGCAGAGAGAGAGCAUCACAUGGUUAGUAAAUGGCAGGGUUGGGAUGGAACUCACUUCUGCCAGACUCUAGAGCUCUUCCCUGAUGCAGAAUUGAUGAGGGGCCCUGCGCCAUGGCAGAGCACCUUACAGUCUCUGGGAACUCCAGGCAGCCAGGGCUGUCAUGGUUUACACCCUGACUGAGAAUUCCCAUUCCUGAGCUUGGGAGUAACUAAUGCCCACCCCUCUCCAGCCCUCGGGGUGCUAUUGACACACCAGUGGCCUCAGAGUCAGGACACUGGGUUCCAUGUGGAUUCUGAUGCCACCUUGCUGGGUAACACUGGGGACUAAGACCCUGCUCUAUGCAGGGGAAGAGAAAGAAGAUGGUUUUAUUUUCCCACCUCCAUUGUCUUUUCAUUGAGAGAUCCCUGCAAGGGGGUGUCAUCCACUCAGCAAACACAAGUCAACGACUCAGGGUUGGUACAUGACAAGAAAAGUUGGGAAACACCUUUCUUGAAGGCCUGGACUUAACCCAGAGAGCCCCAAGUGACGGGGCCAGGUGGCCUCCCCUCCAGGACAGCCUGAAGCAAGAGGACACCUCCUUCUUGACACUUCCAAAGGUGAUGCUACUUGAUGGUGAAUUAUGACCUGCAUGUGGGCGUUGCUGUAUGUGGUGGCAGCUUGGGUCUCCAGAUGAACAGAGUGGUAAGACCUCUCAGGCAAGUCCAGCAUGCAGUGCGGCCUGGAGUUGUUACAUAGCUCCAAACCUAUCACCAUGUUCUGUCCUGGGCACAUCCUCCCCCGGGGCCACCCUCUGCCACGGGGCUACUCAGGGGGCCACGCGGGACUCCAGGUUGUCCAUCUGCAUCUGCAACCGCUUCAGGGUGAGGUCACUUUCGCGGGACUUGCGUUUAUAGGCGAUGAGCACAGCCACGAUGAAGAUGAUGAGGAGGCCGCCAGCCACAGCGAUGCUGACGAUGGCAGGCAGGCUGAGCGGGCUGUCAGGCGCGAUAUACACCAUUCCCGGGGAGUAUUCCAUGCCACCAACACGGGCCUGGGGCACAUAGGGCAAGAGGGAGCUGGGUGUGAGGACACAGAAGCUUUGGCAACAGUCCCGAGUCACCCAUGAAUUGGUGACCAGGGCAGGAUGAGGGAAAGGAGAGACCAAUCACUGGUGUUGAAAUAGACAAGAGUGAAUGAGGGGCUGGAAGUGGACAGGCACAGCUCAACAGAGCUCACCGCUACCUGGAAAAACCCCACCUCCUCUUAUUCAGGAGCGAGUUUUGUCAUCUUCAUAAGGAAACAGCACACAACUGGGACCUAAACACAGUCUGCCACCAAUGACUGGUUCCCCUAAGAUUUAUACCCAUUGUAAGGGUGAGGACAACUGAGGCACAGAACAUGAUAUUCAGAUAUCACGGACUUCCUGGGCCAGCAAGGGCCUUAUUCUUGAAGGCUUUCUUGUUUGUGGCAGGUGAUUUAGCAACUGCUUAAUGCUGUUUUGCAUUUUCCUUAUUGUUGCACCAGCCAGCAUGGAAAGAAUGGCAAUACAGAAGGGAGAAGCUCAAAAGUGGACAUGAAGAAGGAACUUGGGGUGCAGGGUAGCUAAAGGGAAGCUCUUGGUGGGCCAGAAUCCCCUCCUGGAAAUCACUGGUGGCUGAGAUGGAGCUGGACUGCUCACAUCCGUACCCCUCCUGCCCGCUCCAACCAGGAUGGGGUUCUGCCAGGCUCACCAUCACUUUGUGCCUGCCAAUGAGGUUGGGGGACUCGCAGAGCAGCUGCACAUCCGACACGGUCACGGUGCACGGCUUCUCCCCAACCAGCACGGUGUAGUUCAGCUUCACAUUGCCCCCAGCCACGGGCGGGAUCAGGUUCUUGCCCUGGACAGACGGGAAAGCCUCAGUUCCCACCCCAGAGUGAGGACCACAGCUACCAGCUGGCUCUCACGUCCUCCCACCUGGAGAUCCCAUCCUGCUGGUGAGCUGGUGAAGAAGCCACCUUUGGCAUUAAGUCCAAAAAAAAAAAAAAUUUGUGGUACGUAUACUACCAUUAACUCUUCCUCCAAGUGGGUAAUCAAUAAUCAAAGCACUCCUUUCAGCUUAUCCCAAAUGCAGCCUCAGAACCCUUCUCAAUGCAGUGUUAGAGUCAGUCACUACCAAUGGAUUCGAAUUGUCAUGAGUUUUAGUUAACUGUGACCCAUGUUCCAAAGGAAGCCUGUGCUGUGGUUUGCACAAGGUUGCCUCAGAGGAAGCAGUGAGCCCCUGACCUUCCAGCACCUGGACUGUCAGAACAAUAAAAGCCUGAGAGUCAAAGAG